CCUACGGGGGGCUGCAGUGAGGAAUAUUGGUCAAUGGACGAGAGUCUGAACCAGCCAAGUAGCGUGAAGGAUGACUGCCCUAUGGGUUGUAAACUUCUUUUAUAUGGGAAUAAAAUGUUCCACGUGUGGGAUUUUGUAUGUACCAUAUGAAUAAGGAUCGGCUAACUCCGUGCCAGCAGCCGCGGUAAUACGGAGUUUCCGAGCGUUAUCCGGAUUUAUUGGGUUUAAAGGGAGCGUAGGUGGAUUGUUAAGUCAGUUGUGAAAGUUUGCGGCUCAACCGUAAAAUUGCAGUUGAAACUGGCAGUCUGGAGUACAGUAGAGGUGGGCGGAAUUCGUGGUGUAGCGGUGAAAUGCUUAGAUAUCACGAAGAACUCCGAUUGCGAAGGCAGCUCACUGGACUGCAACUGACACUGAGGCUCGAAAGUGUGGGUAUCAAACAGGAUUAGAUACUCGAGUAGUC
Molecule: ribosomal RNA, 460 nt
Filed under: uncultured bacterium
Lineage: Bacteria
Description: partial 16S ribosomal RNA
Rfam family: Bacterial small subunit ribosomal RNA
Source: RNAcentral